GUUUAGUGUGUUUUGUGUGGUGUUGACAAUGGUAGGGUCACACACACACACUCUUAUUCUCUCCCGGGAUUCCCUCUCCCACUGUCUCUUCUCUGUUUCUUUUCUCUCUCUCUCUCUCCCGAGCUCCAUUCAUUCUUCUUCCUUCUGAAAACGUACGGACAACACACACAUCACCCAAACCUUGAUGGAUCGAAGGAACCAAGGGCAUUUUUGGACUCGUGAAGCUCGUACGAGUACAACCAUACCAUUUUCAGCUUGUAGAUGUCUUAGUGAGGUCCCAAGGAGCCUCGGAAUACUUCGUUGGAGAAGUUUGGACGUCGAGAUCAUUGUGGUCAAAGUUGGCCGGAGCUUUCGAGGCUUUUUCCGGAUAAUCCACGGCGAGUUAGGGGUCGAGGCAGAAAUUCCGGCAAAACACCCACCUCCGGCGAAACCAGUCCGGCGACGCGAGGAAGAAGACGCGCGCGUGGGCAGCGCGUAUACUGGGCGCGUGGGGCGCGUGGGACCUCCAAAUUGAGUUCUGAAAAUUGUCACGCGUUCGUGACGUCGUGUAGAUCACCGUGGUAUAUUCACACACUCAAAUCGAGCAACGUAUGAGAAAGUUAUUGAUGAAUGUUUGGUGUAUGCGCGUUAAAUAACGAUAAUUUGGUUACUUUUUGUAUAGGUGAAAAUUAUACAGAAGAAGAAUGUAACCAAUCUAGGGGAGGCUCAGGGACCCACGAGACGUCGAUGUGAUCAGUUUAAGAUAUCAGAGCUUGGUGGCUACGAGGAAUCCAACGGUGUUCUGACAGAAUGGACAAAAAUUAGGACUCACUUUUGGGUGUUUCAUCUUAGAAAUUGUAUCUUUAAAGCUUCCGUACUGUGUAAAUGGUUACGUCACUCUCACGUGACGGCCAGCAUGCCCUCCUUCGGGACGGGGUGUGUCAACUAGACCAUCAAGGAAGCGCCGAACAAGCUUUCCAAAAUUAAGGUUGUGAGGAUGUUAGUCGCCUAAAUGUUAACGGUGAUGUCCCAGAAGUCGUUGCCAAUCAGCCAAGUCGUCACUAAAGGUGAUCUCGACUCAGGUUCAAUUCGGUGAAGGGUUUCGAAGUCUACAAAGGUGGGUGUAUUGAGAUUUUUUAUUUUUUAUUUUUUAGAGAAUAGACAGGGAAGGAGGUAGAGGAACGUGGACUGGGAUCGGAGGUGAUUACAUGACUGUGUUUUAGGGUUGACAACUUUUUAUUAACUAUUAAAUUAUUAAACCUAUUUGUAAUUUUUUUUUUAAUUUAAUUAGACUUGUGUGAUCCAUUUAUAUGUCAUAUCAGCACAUAAUAAAAAUUUUGACAGAAUUUGAUGUCGUGGGUCAAUUUUAGAGACCAAUUUAACGUCACGGUCAAUUUCAAUGAUCAAUUGUGAUUAAAAAAAAAAAGACUUAUGAGACCUAUAUAUGUAUCACAUCAGCACUUAAUGAAAAUUUUAACAAAAUUGUGAUGGAAUGACCACGUUGAUUUGUGACACAU
Pyrus x bretschneideri (Chinese white pear) is the source of this 1496-nucleotide long non-coding RNA. RefSeq lists it as uncharacterized. Lineage: Eukaryota; Viridiplantae; Streptophyta; Magnoliopsida; Rosales; Rosaceae. The record is from RefSeq and is a predicted model, not a curated record. The transcript is spliced from 4 exons.